Molecule: non-coding RNA, 102 nt
Filed under: Clostridium sp.
Lineage: Bacteria; Bacillati; Bacillota; Clostridia; Eubacteriales; Clostridiaceae
Also listed under: 1 other name
Description: Guanine sequence
Rfam family: Purine riboswitch aptamer
About the family: Riboswitches are metabolite binding domains within certain messenger RNAs that serve as precision sensors for their corresponding targets. Allosteric rearrangement of mRNA structure is mediated by ligand binding, and this results in modulation of gene expression. A class of riboswitches that selectively recognises guanine and becomes saturated at concentrations as low as 5 nM.
Source: RNAcentral
GCUUUAAAUUAAAUAACCAUCCAUAUAGGUCUGACAAUAGGGGUCAGGCGUUUCUACAAAGAGGCCGUAAACUUCUUAACUAUGGGUGAAUCCAGGUUCUAU